AACGGCUGGCGGCGUGCCUAAUACAUGCAAGUCGAACGGUCUUUCUAUGGAAGCUUGCUUCCACUGAGAAGAUAGUGGCGAACGGGUGAGUAACACGUGGGUAACCUGCCCAUAAGAGGGGGAUAACAUCCGGAAACGGGUGCUAAUACCGCAUAGUUUUCUUGAUCGCAUGAUCGGGAAAGGAAAGACGGCCUUUGUGCUGUCGCUUAUGGAUGGACCCGCGGCGUAUUAGUUAGUUGGUGAGGUAACGGCUCACCAAGACGAUGAUACGUAGCCGACCUGAGAGGGUGAUCGGCCACAUUGGGACUGAGACACGGCCCAAACUCCUACGGGAGGCAGCAGUAGGGAAUCUUCCGCAAUGGACGAAAGUCUGACGGAGCAACGCCGCGUGAGUGAAAGAAGGUUUUCGGAUCGUAAAACUCUGUUGUCAGAGAAGAACAAGUUGGAGAGUAACUGCUCCAGCCUUGACGGUAUCUGACCAGAAAGCCACGGCUAACUACGUGCCAGCCGCCGC
This 514-nucleotide ribosomal RNA is filed under the name uncultured bacterium. Its description in RNAcentral is "bacterial SSU rRNA". It matches the Rfam family "Bacterial small subunit ribosomal RNA", at positions 35 to 518 of the family's 1533-position model. The record is from RNAcentral.